UCUAUCUGGAAUAGCAGCUGUAGAGUUACUAUCAGACCAAACUUGUAAUAAUCCACUCUUUUUACUCUAGAUCCAUCUGAGUUUUGUGCUGGAUAAACUAGAGGUGUGGUAAGAUUCACCACCGAUAGAAGGACCUAUUAGUUAUUUCCUGAUAUCUGCGGUUCUCUUAUUCCAUAAGGACAGAACUCUUGUUUGCGACUCGGAACAUGGCCACACUGCCUUACAGCUGAGAGUGGCCAUGUGACUAAAUUCUGACUAAUGGACUGUAAGUGGACGUUUAAGGGUGUUGCUGUAGGAGGUCUUCUGCUGCCCUUUUUGAUUCUCGCUGCCUGCAGUGCGAAUGUCACCGCUGCACUCCUAAAGCCGCAGAGUCGCGGGAGUGAUGGCAGCGUCUUGGAGGUCAGCACAGAUGAUGGCAGCAGAAGUGCCAUGCUUAGGAAGGCCCUUAAAGGAUUUGCUGAUGCUCCGCCAUAAUCUACUUUACUGAGUCUACUAAAAUUCGAGGGCUGAUCUCACCCAGAUGAAAAUGUUUAAAAUGGGCACACCAGGGCUUAACUGACGUCAUGCUGGGAGACACGUUCUGCAGGUGGAAUGUUCAAGGAGGGAAGCAGAGAGGAGUUGAGGACUGGACCUUUGUGAUGGGUUUGUCCACUCAGCAGACCACAGCUCAAAAGUUACUCCACCCGAGAUUCCCUCCCAGGCCACCAUGCUGUGAAGAAGCAUAAGAUGAAAGGCCAUGUGGAGAGAGAAACCAGACCACACCACCUCCUCCAGCCAGCCCAGCUCAAGCCUCUGAGGGCAGUGAGGCCACUGGGACACCCAGGGCCCCCCAGGCCCCCAGCUGUCUGUAAGCAUGCAAGGGAGCCCAAGGGAGGCCACAAAAC
This is a long non-coding RNA of Manis javanica (Malayan pangolin), 884 nucleotides long. RefSeq lists it as uncharacterized. NCBI's taxonomy places the organism in Eukaryota, Metazoa, Chordata, Mammalia, Pholidota, Manidae. The record is from RefSeq and is a predicted model, not a curated record.